RNAcentral lists this long non-coding RNA (1072 nucleotides) under Mytilus galloprovincialis (Mediterranean mussel). Lineage: Eukaryota; Metazoa; Mollusca; Bivalvia; Mytilida; Mytilidae. The record is from RNAcentral.
CCACUACACUAAUGUAUCUUUUCUCUCCUCUCCUUAUCCUUCUCCUUUUCUAAUAUUCUUUCUAUCCCGCUCUAUAUUCUUUCUGUCCCACUCUAUAUUCUUUCUAUCUCACUCUAAUAUUGUUUCUCUCCAUCGCUACAUCCUUUCUGUCCCAUUCUAUAUUCUUUGUCACUCUAUAUUCUUUUUGUCUCGCUCUAAUAUUGUUUCUCUCUAUCUCUAUAUCCUUUGUGUCCCACUCUAUAUUCUUUGUCCCUCUAUAUUCUUUCUAUCUCACUCUAAUAUUGUUUCUCUCCAUCUCUAUAUCCUUUCUGUCCCACUCUAUAUUCUCUGUUCCUCUAUAUUCUUUUUGUCCCACUCAAUUUUGUUUCUCUCCACCUCUAUAUCCAUUCUGUCCCCUUCUAUAUUCUUUGUCCCUCUAUUUUCUUUCUAUCUCACUCUAAUAUUGUUUUUCUCCAUCUCUAUAUCCUUUCUGCCCCACUCUAUAUUCUUGGUCCCUCUAUUUUCUUUCUAUCUCCCUCUAUAUUGUUUCUCUCCCUUUCUAUAUCCUUUCUCUCUCUAUAUAUCCUUUCUCUAAAUUCAAUCUUUCUCGUUCUUAACAACCUAUUUAAGAAGUACCAAUUGUCAGAUACUGCUUGUGGAGGAAUGGAUAAUUUUUCGGAUCAACUAUGUUUUUUUUUGUCCAUCAAUAAUGUCAAUAUAAAGAUGUUGUCACUAAUUUUUUGAACAGAAAAUUGCACAAGAGAAUCUCAUUCCAUAUUAUUACAAAAUUGACAGGCUGGCAGACUUCUGUUACAUCAAGGUGACAGACUGGCAAACUUCUGUUACCUCAAGGUGACAGGUAGACUUCUGUUACUUCUUGGUGACAGGCUGGCAGACUUCUGUUACUUCUAGGUGACAGGCUGGCAGAUUUCUGUUACAUCAAGGUGACAGGCUGCCAGACUUCUGUUACUUCUUGGUGACAGGCCAGGAUUUCUGUUCAAUCAAGGUGACAGGCUGGCAGACUUCUGUUACUUCUAGGUGACAGGCUGGCAGACUUCUGUUACAUCAAGGUGACAGGCUGCCAGACUUCUGU